GAAAUGCGAUAAGUAAUGUGAAUUGCAGAAUUCCGUGAAUCAUCGAAUCUUUGAACGCACAUUGCGCCCUCUGGUAUUCCGGGGGGCAUGCCUGUCCGAGCGUCAUUGCGAACCCCUCAAGCACGGCUUGUGUGAUGGGCCCUCCCGCGUCUUGGUCGUCAAGACGGGCCCGAAAUGCAGUGGCGGCUUCGCGGUUAUCCGAUCAGCCAGAGCGUAUGGGGACUUUCUCUCUGUCACACGCCCGCGGCGCGGACCGACGCCUGUCGACCUUCAUUCAUCGUUUUCUCGGUUGACCUCGGAUCAGGUAGGGAUACCCGCUGAACAUAAGC
This 329-nucleotide unclassified non-coding RNA is filed under the name plant metagenome. RNAcentral describes it as "partial contains 5.8S ribosomal RNA, internal transcribed spacer 2, and large subunit ribosomal RNA". The stretch from base 1 to 105 matches the Rfam family "5.8S ribosomal RNA", at positions 50 to 154 of the family's 154-position model. The record is from RNAcentral.